UGGAUGAACGCUAGCUACAGGCUUAACACAUGCAAGUCGAGGGGCAGCAUUUUAGUUUGCUUGCAAACUGAAGAUGGCGACCGGCGCACGGGUGAGUAACACGUAUCCAACCUGCCGAUAACUCCGGGAUAGCCUUUCGAAAGAAAGAUUAAUACCGGAUAGCAUACGAAUAUCGCAUGAUAUUUUUAUUAAAGAAUUUCGGUUAUCGAUGGGGAUGCGUUCCAUUAGUUUGUUGGCGGGGUAACGGCCCACCAAGACUACGAUGGAUAGGGGUUCUGAGAGGAAGGUCCCCCACAUUGGAACUGAGACACGGUCCAAACUCCUACGGGAGGCAGCAGUGAGGAAUAUUGGUCAAUGGGCGAGAGCCUGAACCAGCCAAGUAGCGUGAAGGAUGAAGGCUCUAUGGGUCGUAAACUUCUUUUAUAUGGGAAUAAAGUUUUCCACGUGUGGAAUUUUGUAUGUACCAUAUGAAUAAGGAUCGGCUAACUCCGUGCCAGCAGCCGCGGUAAUACGGAGGAUCCGAGCGUUAUCCGGAUUUAUUGGGUUUAAAGGGAGCGUAGGUGGAUUGUUAAGUCAGUUGUGAAAGUUUGCGGCUCAACCGUAAAAUUGCAGUUGAAACUGGCAGUCUUGAGUACAGUAGAGGUGGGCGGAAUUCGUGGUGUAGCGGUGAAAUGCUUAGAUAUCACGAAGAACUCCGAUUGCGAAGGCAGCUCACUAGACUGUCACUGACACUGAUGCUCGAAAGUGUGGGUAUCAAACAGGAUUAGAUACCCUGGUAGUCCACACAGUAAACGAUGAAUACUCGCUGUUUGCGAUAUACAGUAAGCGGCCAAGCGAAAGCAUUAAGUAUUCCACCUGGGGAGUACGCCGGCAACGGUGAAACUCAAAGGAAUUGACGGGGGCCCGCACAAGCGGAGGAACAUGUGGUUUAAUUCGAUGAUACGCGAGGAACCUUACCCGGGCUUAAAUUGCAACAGAAUAUAUUGGAAACAGUAUAGCCGUAAGGCUGUUGUGAAGGUGCUGCAUGGUUGUCGUCAGCUCGUGCCGUGAGGUGUCGGCUUAAGUGCCAUAACGAGCGCAACCCUUAUCUUUAGUUACUAACAGGUUAUGCUGAGGACUCUAGAGAGACUGCCGUCGUAAGAUGUGAGGAAGGUGGGGAUGACGUCAAAUCAGCACGGCCCUUACGUCCGGGGCUACACACGUGUUACAAUGGGGGGUACAGAAGGCGGCUACCUGGUGACAGGAUGCUAAUCCCAAAAACCUCUCUCAGUUCGGAUCGAAGUCUGCAACCCGACUUCGUGAAGCUGGAUUCGCUAGUAAUCGAGCAUCAGCCAUGGCGCGGUGAAUACGUUCCCGGGCCUUGUACACACCGCCCGUCAAGCCAUGAA
This 1388-nucleotide ribosomal RNA is filed under the name uncultured organism. Its description in RNAcentral is "SSU rRNA". It matches the Rfam family "Bacterial small subunit ribosomal RNA". The record is from RNAcentral.